UACGUAGGGUGCAAGCGUUAAUCGGAAUUACUGGGCGUAAAGCGCACGUAGGCGGCUUGGUAUGUCGGGUGUGAAAUCCCCGGGCUCAACCUGGGAACUGCAUUUGUGACUGCAUGGCUAGAGUGCGGCAGAGGGGGAUGGAAUUCCGCGUGUAGCAGUGAAAUGCGUAGAUAUGCGGAGGAACACCGAUGGCGAAGGCAAUCCCCUGGGCCUGCACUGACGCUCAUGCACGAAAGCGUGGGGAGCAAACAGG
RNAcentral lists this ribosomal RNA (253 nucleotides) under uncultured bacterium. Its description in RNAcentral is "partial 16S ribosomal RNA". It matches the Rfam family "Bacterial small subunit ribosomal RNA", at positions 524 to 776 of the family's 1533-position model. The record is from RNAcentral.